CCUACGGGAGGCAGCAGUAGGGAAUUUUCGUCAAUGGGCGCAAGCCUGAACGAGCGAUGCCGCGUGAGUGAAGAAGGCCUUCGGGUCGUAAAGCUCUGUUGCGGGGGAAAAAAGGCAGCAUCAGGAAAUGGGUGCUGACUGAUGGUGCCCCGCCAGAAAGUCACGGCUAACUCCGUGCCAGCAGCCGCGGUAAUACGUAGGUGGCGAGCGUUAUCCGUAAUGAUUGGGCGUAAAGGGUGCGCAGGCGGUCCUGCAAGUCUGGAGUGAAACGAAUGAGCUCAACUCAGGCAUGGCAUUUGAAACUGGAGAACUGGAGAGCAGGAGAGGGCGGUGGAACUCGAGGUGUAGCG
This 350-nucleotide ribosomal RNA is filed under the name uncultured bacterium. Its description in RNAcentral is "partial 16S ribosomal RNA". It matches the Rfam family "Bacterial small subunit ribosomal RNA", at positions 338 to 680 of the family's 1533-position model. The record is from RNAcentral.